This 308-nucleotide non-coding RNA is filed under the name Kluyvera ascorbata. Its description in RNAcentral is "MicL sRNA". It matches the Rfam family "MicL sRNA". Rfam says of the family: mRNA-interfering complementary RNA regulator of Lpp. Transcription factor sigma E dependant sRNA. Together with MicA and RybB it allows sigma E to repress the synthesis of all abundant outer membrane proteins in response to stress. Lineage: Bacteria; Pseudomonadati; Pseudomonadota; Gammaproteobacteria; Enterobacterales; Enterobacteriaceae. The record is from RNAcentral.
UAUGGCGGGUGCAGGUGUGAGGGCGAGCAACCUUUCGCUCUUCCUGGAAGCAGGCGUCAAAGAAGUGCACAGUUCAGCCGGGCAAUGGUUGCCCUCCGAAAUGCGUUAUCGCAAUCCCGGACUGUCAAUGUCAACGGAUCCUGACGCUGAUGAGUAUUCACGUUAUGCCGUCGACGGUGCGGCCGUAGCCGCAAUGAGUGCGAUCGUCGCGCGUCAUGAGUAGUUAACCGUUUUUUACCGCGCGUCAUAUCGCCCAAUAUGAUGCUUGCUUGUACCAGGCCCCUGCCCAUUAAACAGGGGCCUUUUUU